CCAGAUUAGCGGAGACCCUGGGCUCCAGCCACACUCUCUGUAGCAGCUUUCAGAGUCCUUUUCCUUUGUCCCUUCUCUGUCAUCCUAGCACUGAGAGAGCUGGGCAGGCCCAGGUUCUUAGCCCCAUUCUAGGAAUGCAGCCACCCAGGCUCAGAGAGCCUCAACAGCCUGCCCUAGGUGGCAGUACCCAGAUUCCAUCCCGUUUCCUGACUCAAUUCCACUGCUGCCUCUGUGCUACCACAAAUAGCAAGACUUGUCUUAGCUAUGCCCGAGUGCUGGAGUGUGCAGCUGACUGCUGGGAAGAACCAGCUUGGACCCUUUGGAGAGGGGCUCUGUCCCUGCCCCUGUCUGCCCUCGGGACAUAUACCAGCUCACGUCUGUGCCCCACAGGCUUGCCCACAGGUGACGUUCCCAUGGAUGGCAUGUCCGUGUCUGACCUGGGUCCUGUGGUGCUCAGCCUUUUGAAGAUGCCAGAAAAAUACGUCGGCCAGAACAUCGGGCUGAGCACUUGCAGGCACACGGCCGAGGAGUACGCUGCCCUGCUCACCAAGCACACCCGCAAGGUCGUGCACGAUGCCAAGAUGACUCCUGAGGACUACGAAAAGCUUGGCUUUCCCGGUGCCCGGGACCUGGCCAACAUGUUCCGUUUCUAUGCCCUGAGACCCGACCGUGACAUCGAGCUGACCCUGAGACUCAACCCCAAGGCCCUGACGCUGGACCAGUGGCUGGAACAGCACAAAGGGGACUUCACCCUGC
RNAcentral lists this small RNA (756 nucleotides) under Pan troglodytes (chimpanzee). RNAcentral describes it as "retained intron". The record is from RNAcentral. Lineage: Eukaryota; Metazoa; Chordata; Mammalia; Primates; Hominidae.